Molecule: long non-coding RNA, 3927 nt
Filed under: Malus domestica (apple)
Lineage: Eukaryota; Viridiplantae; Streptophyta; Magnoliopsida; Rosales; Rosaceae
Description: long non-coding RNA (MDOM_LNC012484)
Source: RNAcentral
GGAGUGGGCUUAGCCUCACAAUGGGCUAGCAAUAAUGUGAUUCAAUCAAUUGUUUAUUAAAUAUUAUUUUCUCUAUUCUUAAUGUAAAUUCUAUAGAAACCGAUUUUAUUAUGUGAAUUCAGCUGCUUUAAUUGGUUUAUGAAGGGUUUCUUCUAGCAUGAUCUAAAAUUAUUCAUUUACUUCAAAUAUUUUACUGUUCUUUUGUCAAUUUACGCAUAUAAAUACAUUUAAAAUGUGUAAGUCGUGUGUAAUAUGCCAUGAUUCAAAAAAUAUCUUCUGCACAUAAGGCAUGCUAUGUGGUCUAUCCAUUCUUAUUUAUACAAAAGUCGCACGAUUUUUGUCCACCAAAUUUGAAGCCUAAAAUCAGGGUUUGGACGACCAUUUUAUCUCUCUCCAUCAUGUUCGUGAGUCAACAUAUUAAUUAAAUGAGUCGUUAGUAGGUCACUCGUUAAAAACUCAUUAAUAACAAAUUCUUAACAGAUCUACCUGCGAGUAGUCCAUUCCAACCAGUUAAGAAAAUGAUUAGUUCGACCAUUUUUAAGUACUAAAAAAACCUUACUACAAUAGCCAUAAGAUUAAAUAUCACAUGAGUGAGAUUAAAUUAUUACCAUUGGAUUUUGUGACACCAUCUCACUCCCAGGCCAGAGUCCAAACUCCAAGGACCAACUUCGUUUGUAUCCUUUCUUGUCUCGACUCUCGAUGCUCACUCUCUCUCAUCAUCAUUCUAUCUCCGCCCAAACCACUACCACGACCACAUGCGUAUCUAAUCUCGUCGUCCAAGCCACGCACCACCAUACUAUUAAUGAAUCACGAUCACCACCAUCGGCUCCGCCCAUAACCCAACUGCAAGGUUGUGAAUCGAGAUGCAAAUUUCCAGCUGACAUUCAUAUUCAACAUCCAAUCCUUCCGAAUUAAGGUAAUUUAUUUAAUUUGAUUGUAAUAUCUUUCGAUUCAAAAAAAAAAAAUUAGGAUUUUGUAGAUUUACGGAUUGUAUAAUUCCAAAUUAGGAUUUGUAAAGUUAGGUAUUUCAUAAUUAGAAUUUAGAAUUUAGGGUUGUCAAUUGACACAACCUGAGUUAUACGGCUUUGGUAUUUCAAAAGUAUAUACUUCUUUCCUAGCGGUUUCCUAAUAUGUUCUUUAAUGUAAAAAUCUAACUAACUAAAAUAUUAAUUAUGUUUUUUUUUUCUUCAGAAGCAAUGGAUGCUACAGAUUUAAAUUUCGUGAACCUUAGUGAUGAGGAGUGUGUAGAAGUUACAAUGGGAACAUAAUCAGAUCUUAGUGUUUUUAUGUUUUGAGUAACAUUUAUGUGGCAAUGUUGUAUGUAGAUACUAAUUUAGUAUGAAACUUUCUAUUUGAUUAUUUAUUUAAGUAAAAUAUAUUUUAUUUAAUGGAUAACAGGUUAGGUCAUAUAUCCAUUAAUUUCAAUGAGAGUUCAGGUUGGGUAAUAUUACUCUUUUAUUUUAACAGAUUUGACACGACACGAUCUGUUAAGAUAUCGGGUACGUCAUGAAAACGUCAUCCAAAAACACAAACACGACACGAUUACCAUGUCUAUAUUAUAGGCAUGAGUCACCAUGUUCUUAAGAAACCAAAAUGAAAAACCUUCAAAAAUAAAAAAUAGAAACAAAACAAAAUGAAAGGAAUGCUAGGGAAUAAAUUUCGGAUAUGCAAAAGUGCAAGGAAAGGCUUGAAAAUUUCAAGUGAUAAUAUUCCCGACUUAUCCAGAAGUGACGUGGCGUGGACUCGUCUCUCUCUUCCCAAUCAUAUAAUUUUACAUGUGAAAGUGACAUGUUAUUUGUUCAUAUCAAUAAGGCACGUUUUUAAAAUUUUAAGGGCCCAUACAAAACUUAGACUUUAGAGUCUUAGACUUAUAAUUUACGUAUAGAAAUGUGAUACCUCAACCGCAGCCUUUCGUUACAUAAAAUAUUUACAUUUUUCUAUUUUUCUAUUUUUCAAGACUUGAGACUUGUAUCUAGUGGUCGAAGUAUUUUUGUUUUUCUAAUAGAUUUUAGACCAGUAUUCCAAAUACUUGAUUUAUUAAGUCAAGUAAUCUCACUCAUAAAGUUUUGUGUGUUUUAUGUUUAUCACAUUCGUAACCAAAGUUUUUGACGGCCUUUUACCCUAAAAUAUUGUCCCAACUACACAUUUUUCUAUCAAAUAUUCAAAGAGACCGGUUACUAAAUCCUCCCACCACACCGAUAUUACACUAACUUAACUAUACUGUUAAGUGUUGAAUUUAUCACAAAAAAAUCUCGGUGUUAUUAAGUUGAAUGUGAAAUUUAUAUUCAACAUAUUCAAGUCACUCAUCAUAUAGCAUCACUUUCAAGGCAAUAAGAAUGCAGGUAAGAGAAUAUGAAAUAUUUCCUUAAUUGUUGAUUGGUAUGGUUUGGCCAUCCAUUAAUUUGAGGCCUAAACUGAACCAAACUAAACACAAAUUUUAGCUUUGUUCAGUUGCGAAUCGUUUUACCUUGAAUCAAACCUCCCUAUGCCUACCCUUAGGGUGCGUUUGUUGCACCGGACUGUCUCGGACUGGACUAGCUGCAGGGACUAAGCUGGACUGGCUUAGACUAGACUAAGCUGGACUAGUUUAGUGAGGCGUUUGGUGCAGUGUCGGACUAAAAAACAGAAUAAUAAAAAUAAUAAAAAUUAAUUCACUUUUUAUUUUUUAUUUUUUUCGUUUUCUAGAAUCUCCCUAUUUUGGUCAAACUAUUUCCUUCUUUUUCUCCCCUGUCUCUUCCCUUUUCCUUAUCCUGUCCGACUCUCUCUCCCUUUUUCUCCCUUGUCUCUUCCCUUUUCCUUAUCCUGUCCGACUCUCUCUCCCUCCCUCCCUCCCUCCUCACUUCCUCUCACAACUUCAUAAUCUACUGCAAACCUUCAAAAUCAAACCACAUAGCAAGAAAUAAAGUGAAAAUUUAGGAGUUGGGGUUGGGGUGCAUGUGUGAUUGCCUUGAAGGUGGGAGAUGGAGAAGGUUUGCAAUUAGGGAGUUUCAUGUUUUCUGGGUUUGGUUUUCCUUCAGUCAAUCCCAUCGUUGAUUUAAGCUUAUACCCACUGCAGAUUUUGUGUGUGUGUGUGUUUUAUAGGUUUCUGGGUUCUAUUUUGCAGGUUGGAUCUGGAUUUGAAAAAUGGAACGACUGCAUAUUUUUUUUUGUUUUGAAUUUUGCGGGAUAUGGGUUUGAAAAUAGUUGUGGAAGCGAGGAAGAAGCAGAUGGGAGGGGCGAAGUGAGGAGAGGCGAACCGGACAGAGGUCGUCUUAGUAGUCCGCCCGAUUUUGGGGGGCCUCGCGAAGCCCCUCUAGCGAAUCGUUUAGUCGGGGUUAGUGUAGGCGAGUCUCAUUAACGCUAGUCCGUGUGUGCAACAAACACAGGAUUACAGUGAUAGUUAGUCCAGUCUAAGCUAGCGAAAGCUAGCGAGCUCAAACAAACACGCCCUUAGUGACUUGUUUAGUAUUAAGUUACACAUGGUAUGCAUUUAGAAACCGUAUUUGCAAAACUUUAAUUAAGUUAGAUAUCGUUUAAUGACGUGGAUAAGAAAGUUUAUUAUUGAGUAGACGCAACAAAAAUAUUGUCCCUAUCAUGUCUAGUACCCGAGCACAAAUGCAGAAGAAUGAAGUGGUAGUGCACAAGACAAGCAUAUAACAUAGUUUAGGUUUAAAACACUUCCACCACCAUUUUGGGUUUUCUAGUUUUAGACCUCUCUUAUCUAUAUAUAUCCCACUAACUUCACGAUUAUUCAUAAAUCAUUAUUAUUUUUUCUUUAUUUAAAAAUGAGACUAAUUGGUGGUUUCGCCACGACAGUCUAUCAUUUUGAGAGCCGGAAAGACUCAAAGAAACAUUUCAGCCUCUUUCUGCCACCACCAUGCUAUUUACCAGUAACAAGAAUCGAACUUAAGACAUGCCGUGUGAAAUGCGGGUUUAGAAUUCGUUCUU